This 478-nucleotide long non-coding RNA is filed under the name Zea mays. RNAcentral describes it as "drought responsive lncRNA". Lineage: Eukaryota; Viridiplantae; Streptophyta; Magnoliopsida; Poales; Poaceae. The record is from RNAcentral.
UUUUAAUUAAAUUAUUUAAUUAACAGACAUUUGUUAGCGUAUCAGAUUAAUCGAAACUAACUGAUGUAUAAUAUUUAUGUUUGAUCAUGUUGAACUAAAAGUUGUUGUUAAUACUUGUUUAACGUUAACGCGCUAACUUCUCAACCGUAACUUCGAGUUCGACGUUUCUUUCCCUCUCGUGACCAUAGAAUCGAGCUCUAUUUUAUGCUGCAUGUUUUUAUAACAAUUUAUCAUGUAUGGUGUAAUGUUCUUAUGCAUAUAUAUAUGUUUGUUUGUUUGUGCCUGUUGGUAUUCGUUGUGCGUCGCAAAUAGUUUGUGAUCCGUUUCCGAGCUUCGAGAGAUCGAAGGUCAAGCUUUGGUGACCAAGUGAUCAAGCUCCUCGAGCUCUACGAGAUUGAAGAUUCUGAGCAUCUGUUUGGUGAAGGCAAGUGUCCUCUGACCCAUUAUGUCCUAUUCACUUAUAAUUCACUUUCCCGCA